CUACGGGUCGCUGCAGUGGGGAAUUUUGCGCAAUGGGCGAAAGCCUGACGCAGCAAUACCGCGUGAGUGAAGAAGGCCUUUGGGUCGUAAAGCUCUUUUCUGGGGGAAGAUAGUGACGGUACCCCAGGAAUAAGCACCGGCUAACUCCGUGCCAGCAGCCGCGGUAAUACGGAGGGUGCAAGCGUUGUUCGGAUUUACUGGGCGUAAAGGGCACGUAGGCGGCACAGCAAGUUAAGGGUGAAAUCCCGGGGCUCAACUCCGGAACUGCUCUUAAAACUGCUGAGCUAGAGAUGGUCAGAGGCGGGUAGAAUUCCUGGUGUAGAGGUGAAAUUCGUAGAUAUCAGGAGGAAUACCGGUGGCGAAGGCGGCCCGCUGGGGCCAUUCUGACGCUAAGGUGCGAAAGCGUGGGGAGCGAACGGGAUUAGAUACCCCCGUAGUC
This 439-nucleotide ribosomal RNA is filed under the name uncultured bacterium. RNAcentral's name for it is "partial 16S ribosomal RNA". It matches the Rfam family "Bacterial small subunit ribosomal RNA", at positions 339 to 795 of the family's 1533-position model. The record is from RNAcentral.